AGGAAGAGAAUUAUUUUAAAGGGUCCUUUUAACUGAAAUCUCCUUUGGAUUAAGAUGUGCUACAUGAGCUCAAACUAAUUGGAAAGGUGGCAGGAUAAUGGCAUUGAUAGCCAGUGGAUAUGGGCUCCUUGGGCCCCACUGGCCAUUUGAUGGCAUCCCAAAGGCAAUCACAAGGAAAGUUAAAGGAGGGAAUAUUGAUGUACAUCCAUCAGAAAAAGCACUCAUUGUUCACUAUGAAGUAGAAGCUACCAUUCUUGGAGAAAUGGGGGACCCCAUGUUGGGAGAACGAAAAGAAUGUCAAAAAAUCAUUCGACUUAAAAGUCUCAAUGCCAACACAGAUAUAACUUCCCUGGCAAGGAAGGUGGUCGAAGAAUGUAAACUCAUUCAUCCUUCAAAACUAAAUGAGGUAGAACAGCUGUUGUACUAUCUACAGAACCGCCGUGAUUCAUUGUCAGGAAAAGAGAAAAAAGAAAAAUCAAGCAAACCUAAAGAUCCACCUCCUUUUGAAGGAAUGGAGAUUGAUGAAGUUGCUAACAUUAAUGACAUGGAUGAAUAUAUUGAGUUAUUAUAUGAAGAUAUUCCUGACAAAGUUCGGGGUUCUGCUUUGAUCCUGCAGCUUGCUCGAAAUCCUGAUAACUUGGAAGAACUACUAUUGAAUGAAACUGCCCUUGGUGCAUUAGCAAGGGUCCUGAGAGAAGACUGGA
Molecule: small RNA, 704 nt
Filed under: Pan troglodytes (chimpanzee)
Lineage: Eukaryota; Metazoa; Chordata; Mammalia; Primates; Hominidae
Description: processed transcript
Source: RNAcentral